GAUGAACGCUGGCGGCGUGCCUAAUACAUGCAAGUCGAGCGAACGGACGAGAAGCUUGCUUCUCUGAUGUUAGCGGCGGACGGGUGAGUAACACGUGGAUAACCUACCUAUAAGACUGGGAUAACUUCGGGAAACCGGAGCUAAUACCGGAUAAUAUUUUGAACCGCAUGGUUCAAAAGUGAAAGACGGUCUUGCUGUCACUUAUAGAUGGAUCCGCGCUGCAUUAGCUAGUUGGUAAGGUAACGGCUUACCAAGGCAACGAUGCAUAGCCGACCUGAGAGGGUGAUCGGCCACACUGGAACUGAGACACGGUCCAGACUCCUACGGGAGGCAGCAGUAGGGAAUCUUCCGCAAUGGGCGAAAGCCUGACGGAGCAACGCCGCGUGAGUGAUGAAGGUCUUCGGAUCGUAAAACUCUGUUAUUAGGGAAGAACAUAUGUGUAAGUAACUGUGCACAUCUUGACGGUACCUAAUCAGAAAGCCACGGCUAACUACGUGCCAGCAGCCGCGGUAAUACGUAGGUGGCAAGCGUUAUCCGGAAUUAUUGGGCGUAAAGCGCGCGUAGGCGGUUUUUUAAGUCUGAUGUGAAAGCCCACGGCUCAACCGUGGAGGGUCAUUGGAAACUGGAAAACUUGAGUGCAGAAGAGGAAAGUGGAAUUCCAUGUGUAGCGGUGAAAUGCGCAGAGAUAUGGAGGAACACCAGUGGCGAAGGCGACUUUCUGGUCUGUAACUGACGCUGAUGUGCGAAAGCGUGGGGAUCAAACAGGAUUAGAUACCCUGGUAGUCCACGCCGUAAACGAUGAGUGCUAAGUGUUAGGGGGUUUCCGCCCCUUAGUGCUGCAACUAACGCAUUAAGCACUCCGCCUGGGGAGUACGACCGCAAGGUUGAAACUCAAAGGAAUUGACGGGGACCCGCACAAGCGGUGGAGCAUGUGGUUUAAUUCGAAGCAACGCGAAGAACCUUACCAAAUCUUGACAUCCUUUGACAACUCUAGAGAUAGAGCUUUCCCCUUCGGGGGACAAAGUGACAGGUGGUGCAUGGUUGUCGUCAGCUCGUGUCGUGAGAUGUUGGGUUAAGUCCCGCAACGAGCGCAACCCUUAAGCUUAGUUGCCAUCAUUAAGUUGGGCACUCUAAGUUGACUGCCGGUGACAAACCGGAGGAAGGUGGGGAUGACGUCAAAUCAUCAUGCCCCUUAUGAUUUGGGCUACACACGUGCUACAAUGGACAAUACAAAGGGCAGCGAAACCGCGAGGUCAAGCAAAUCCCACAAAGUUGUUCUCAGUUCGGAUUGUAGUCUGCAACUCGACUACAUGAAGCUGGAAUCGCUAGUAAUCGUAGAUCAGCAUGCUACGGUGAAUACGUUCCCGGGUCU
RNAcentral lists this ribosomal RNA (1372 nucleotides) under uncultured bacterium. RNAcentral describes it as "bacterial SSU rRNA". It matches the Rfam family "Bacterial small subunit ribosomal RNA", at positions 28 to 1381 of the family's 1533-position model. The record is from RNAcentral.